GCGGUGCAGGAUGAGCCCGCGGCCUAUCAGCUUGUUGGUGAGGUAACGGCUCACCAAGGCGACGACGGGUAGCCGGCCUGAGAGGGCGACCGGCCACACUGGGACUGAGACACGGCCCAG
This 120-nucleotide ribosomal RNA is filed under the name uncultured bacterium. RNAcentral's name for it is "partial 16S ribosomal RNA". It matches the Rfam family "Bacterial small subunit ribosomal RNA", at positions 215 to 334 of the family's 1533-position model. The record is from RNAcentral.